Molecule: long non-coding RNA, 5254 nt
Organism: Oxyura jamaicensis (ruddy duck)
Lineage: Eukaryota; Metazoa; Chordata; Aves; Anseriformes; Anatidae
Exons: 2
Source: RefSeq, a predicted model, not a curated record
GGCGGUGGCAGAGACUAGCGCAGGGCCCGGCCAAUGGCGGGGCGGUAUGCUAAUGAGUACUUGGUCAGGCAGGAGCUGAAUGUCAACUAGUCAAAGAUGGAGGCCGGAGCGGGGAGGCCAUGAGGCAUGGAAUGAAGCUCCCUCCAGUCACCUGCUGCAAGACACAUUGUCCAGCUUCCUAACCUUAAGGAUGAGACCCUAUCAAUAUUGCCUCUGCUUUUGUGCUCAGGGUAGUAGUGCAAUAUUGCUUAUAGGGUCUUUUCUUUUGGGGGUAUUCUUCACGGAGAGAAGACAGCCACAGCAGGAAAAACUAAUCCUAUGUGCGCAUCGAGUUAAGGGGAAAGUUGUGAAAUACUGAGCCUUGUUAGAUAGGCAAGUAAUGGUGCGGAGACGUUACUUGUGACAAAUAAUCGUGCUAUUGUGGUGACUCAGGUUGUGAGUAAUGGGCAUAUUUUCGAUGCUAUCGCACAGGAUUCAAAAUGGCCUUGUGUUUAAAAAGCUCAAGCAGUGACUGAAACUGGAGAAACCCAUCGUGUCUCCAUUUUAAAUAGCACGAGUCCCGAGAGGUUUGAAGGGUGCCUAUUUUACAUCACGAUGUAAACACCCACCGAGGGAUGGGAGGAGAUACAUAGCCACACUUGCUGUUUCCACGCCUGAUCCCAGCCCGAAAACCAGCACUGUGCGAAGCAGGGCGCCGCACAAAGGGGCCGAGGCUCUGCUCCCGGUGACCUCCCCGCAGCAAAGCUCUCGCCUCUGCCCGGCAAGCACGGCUGGGCCCGCGGCUCGCAGCAGGGUCGGGUGGUGGAGCGGGGCUGGGCACGGCCCCCAGCCCUUCCCCAGAGCCAUUCCUGGAGGUACGUGGGAAAGGAGCAAGGGACGGGGGUGUUAAAUCUCUCCGCUUUGUGAGGAAUCAGCUGGGGGCUGACAGCAGCCAGGAUGGCCGAGUGGGUGGCCCUGCCUUCCAUUUCAGGUGGUCCCCGCGGUCCCUUUCGGGACCUCUGGGGCCCAGGGAAAGGGGUGGUGGGAGGGGACUUUGGGGCCAGAGCGGGGCUCGGUGGAGCAGCCGCUGCCUCCGCGGGGCUUCACAAGCUGCUCCCCGGGCAGCGUGGGGCUGCUGCAGCACAGCCAGGCUCGGGGUGCUGCCGGGGCUGCACUCACUGCUUGGGGUUUCGCCCCCUCACACACCCACCCAGCAUCGCUCCGGGGGGAGGCAGCCAGCUCAGGGACAAAGCCAGGAAAUCCCUCCUCCCCCUCCACACCUAAGCCCAGGCUCUCCCUCCGUGCCCCCAGCCCAGCAGCCGGGCCAGCGCUGGGACCACCGGGCGGGCUGCCCCUCUUUCCCUGUUGCACUACUGUCACGGUUGCAGCGAGCAGUGCAAUAAUGAAAGGGCGUCAGUGCGCCGGGGAGCUGCGGGAGCCGGGGCUAAGCCAGUGACAGUCAGCAGGGCUGGCCCCCCCACCCAAGAGCUGUCUUACGGGGGGGCCAGGAUCAUGACCCACGGCUAGGGGGAGCUGGGCACAGGGCAAGGUGAGCAGCCCUGCACAAAUAAAGUGACUUCCCAUGUCCCUGUUGCUGCCUUUUCUUCCUUGGGGGGGUUUCUUGCAGGUCAGCAGCCUCCCCAGCAGCGGCGCACAGAGGCAGAGCCCCCACGAGGGGUUUUUGUGGGGCCAACCAGACCUGUGCUUUGUGGGGAGAGGCUGAAGGCACUAAUGGGACUGGGGGUCUUCCUGCCCUGUGGAGCCUGAAAAGCAGGCGGGAGGCAUGCCCUGGUGCUGGGCUCAGCAGUGGGGCGGGAGGGGAAGGGGCUGCAGUAAAGGAGAGCAGAGCAGCGCUCUGCAGCUGGGAGCUGCGCUGGAAAGGCCAGGAAAUAGCCCUGUGAUUAUUAGUGGCCAUGGCGAAAUAGUUACUUCUAUAAAAGAGGGCUGGGGAGGGGUAUUUCCUUUAGCAAAGGACCUUUCCACUCUGGCCUUUUGAACCCGCGCUUCUCCCUGGCACUGUUUCUGCUUCAUCAUGACUUUUUGCAGAGGAAGGUGAGUGCAGAAAGCAGACCGGCUCUAGGCGAGGGCUGCAAUCUAAUCCUGAUAAAAAGGCUUUUACAGUCUGUGCUUCAUUUCCUAUUUCUUUUGGAUUCUCUCUUCUGUCUCUCACGUGCACAAGCAGAUAUAAAAGCCGAAUCCUUCCCUGCAGUCUCUCUCCCAGGGAACAGUCAGCCCCCUCCCCAGCUUCACCUUCAGGCUGUGCACACACAAAAUGGCUGCAGCAGCCUGUGGGUGGGCAUGGAGAGCUCAGGAAGCUGCUUUUCUUUUUCCCACCCUGCCUGCCCAGGAAGCCCUUCUGCUUUUAUUUUCUGUGGCAUUUCACUCUCGCAUAGCUCUGUGCAAAUCCAAGGGGGUCUCCUAUGUGUAAGCUAUGCAUGGAAUGGGAGCUGGGGAGGGAAACAGCCAGUUUGCAUGAGAAGGGGACCUGUCGGGCCCCAGUGUUUAUUUUUUUGCUGACCUUCUGGGGAUAUGGUCAGUGAGAGCUGUGACAGCUGCUGGAAGCGGCAGGGGCUUUGAAGAUUGUGAAGGUUGUGACCUCGAGGCCCCUUUCCUCUCUCUGUCCCAGGAGCUGCUGAGUCAAUCAGGGAAAAGGGGAGGUGAAAUGGGGGCUGCUCUUUAGCCAUUUUUCAAUCGGUGAAUGAAACAGGAAAGGACAAAUGCAAGAAGAAAAAAGAGCGAUUACUUCCACUUUGGUGCAUUACUGAGAAGGGGGGAUAUCUCUUUGGCAAAAGAUUAUAACAAUAAUGGGAAACCACUGUGCUCCUGAGAUCCAGCACCUUGAAUAAAGGGGUUGACUGGGCAAGGAGCUGAUGGCAGAUCAAUAAUGCUAAAUUAGGGGGAAAGCCUACAAACUCCUCUUGGUUCAAAGCGAGAGGAAAUCCACCUCUCAUUUCCACCUGAUACUAGCAGCGGGGGAACCCGGGUACCACUAUCCUCCACCACCUCCUUGACUUCACAGUACCACAUCUUCACCUUUGCCGAGCUCAGCUGAAUGCUGUGGCUGUUGUAGGAGCCACUGAGGAGGGCUGCACCGCACAUGCCAAAGUAAAGGGACAAAGUACAUGGUGCUGCAUCCCUGGUGCGUGCGUGCUUUCAAAUAGCACGGGCUUGCUUAGAAAUCCACGCUCCGGGCAGCCCACGAGAGGGCUCUCAGCCCCUGAGUCCUCCCUAAGCCCAGAAAGUGGGGUUUAAGUCUUUUUCCCCUUUCUGGAUAACAUGAUCCUAUGGAUCUAUCCUUUAAAAUAGUAAUCAGAACAGCAAACACGGCGCCUGGCUUCGGUUGACCAAUACACAACAGAGGCAAAGAAGGCAAACAGCAGGCUUUUCAGUUAGUUUACACAGGGGGCACUUAAAUACUGUAUUGGUUACAUAAUACCAUUUGGGGGUUGGGGUUUUACACAUUCUUCUACUAAAUAUAUCUGUGAGAUUUGUUUUAAAGUGAUCAACAUAAAUCCAGCCACAGCUUUAAGGGGGAAAAUUCCUGUGAUUAGAUUUAAUACCACUAGGUAGCUCACAGUAUGUUUACUGAAAACCAACACACAAUAGAUUCCCGCCCCCGGAACUGCCGGCCAGCCUCGCGCUUUGCUGCGCUGGAGGGUGUUGCUCUCCUCUAGAAGGGCUGCCAUAGACAGCCACUUCCCGCAGGAAGCACGGGCUGCUGGUUUUAGGGCCAUAUCCUGCUACUGUUCCACAUCCAGCCCUCAGGAUUCAUCCCAGCACGGGCUGAAGACAGGAUAUGGUCUGGCAAUCUUGACAAACUAAGUGCUAAGCAAGAGGGCGAGGCAUAUAAAAAAAUAAUUUAAAAAAAAAAAAAAUGAGAGCCUUCUUGGCUGUGAUUGAUUAGAAAAGAACAAUUCUCUAUUAACUCUUCCUGAGAAUCCCCUUCACAUGGGAUACCUGAAGGUAUAUUCCCUUCCAGAUAAGCCUUCCAGUAAGCAUCCUGUUCCCAUCCAAAGAGUAGCAGGUGGUCAAACUGCCCCACUGGAGGCUUGACAAUGGCAUUAGCUGAAGCCUGGCUCAAUCUGUACACAACUCCUGAGACUCCAGCUAAGCCCUGCCUGGGAACAGCGAGCAUCCCCGGGCAAGGCCCGGAUCUAGCAGCCCCAUGUCCUUGCAAGGCACCCUCUGCUCAGAAGCGAACAGAUGGGAAGAAGCGUCUCAAAGCAGCACAGCUUUAAAACCGUGCUCUUCUCUUCAGCGUGUUGCCACCAGCAGCUCCGCAGGCAGAGAUCUCUGCCAUAAGGAGCGAGCAGAAUGGCGGGUGGGUGGCUAAUUGAGAAUGGAAGCUCCUCGGGGGCAAAACCAAGCCAUCUUUGUGGUUGCACAGAACGAGGUAUGCUGCCUGCGCUCAGCACCAAACACCAGCUCGGUACAAAUCCUGCUUACUCGCUCACCUGGAGGUGGGUGCACCUGGUCUUGUAAACCUCCUCAGCCACCCAGUGACCAGGUGACAGCGAUAGGCUGUUGUGCACAGCACAAAGUCGAGCCUAACAGUCUGCAGGGGUGUAAUAUGCCAGUUAUCUUAAAAGUCACCCUGCUACUACUACACCAAAAGGCAGACCUCUUCCUCCCUCAAAAACUGAUCUGCUGAGAAGCAACACCUCUGCCAGGAGCUGCUACUUCUUUACCAGCAGUUUACCCAGUUAAAAUCAGUAGGGAGUGACACUUUGUACAAAAACACACUGCACUAGAAGACAAACUCUGUUUUGUCCUUCCUCUGUGAGACCCCAUCAUAUUUCAAGAUAAGUUUGGGUUGACAACAAUCUGGUUUUACACAAUCCACCAGCAAUUCUGUUGCUUGGCUUUCCCUUUAAAGCAGUUACACCUUUAACACAAUCUAAAUUAUUUAAAGAGGGAGAAAAAAGAAAGAAAAGGCAGACUGCCCUGAGAAAAGCAGAGAAUGAAAGACUUCCAGACCUGAAGGAAAUGGGGAUCUCUCAACAGCCCUGGGAAGCAGGGGAGGCCACCUCAUCUGUAAGCUUUUAGAGACACAGAACCAGUAAAGGAUUCCUCACUGCCAGCCCCCUACACCCCGACACCAAGUAAUUCAUUUAGGGUGUUUAUAGCAGCGUUUGGAGCAAGUCAGAGGGCAGUUUUGGCAUUCCCCUGUUGAAUUUCUGGUCAAGUUCUCUGAUCAAAAUCGACCCCUUCUUCCCCUCUUCACACACAGAUAUCCACCCCUACUAACCCUACUGAAAGGCAAACACUUGAAAAA